GAACGCUGGCGGCGUGCCUAACACAUGCAAGUCGAACGGAGUAUAUUCGCUGCAGAGAUUUCGGUCGAAGCUUGAGUAUACUUAGUGGCGGACGGGUGAGUAACGCGUGGGCAACCUGCCUCAUACUGGGGGAUAGCAGUUGGAAACGACUGAUAAUACCGCAUAAGCGCACAGAGUCGCAUGACUCAGUGUGAAAAACUCCGGUGGUAUGAGAUGGGCCCGCGUCAGAUUAGCCAGUUGGCAGGGUAACGGCCUACCAAAGCGACGAUCUGUAGCCGGCCUGAGAGGGCGGACGGCCACAUUGGGACUGAGACACGGCCCAAACUCCUACGGGAGGCAGCAGUGGGGGAUAUUGCACAAUGGAGGAAACUCUGAUGCAGCGACGCCGCCGUGAGUGAAGAAGUAUUUCGGUAUGUAAAGCUCUAUCAGCAGGGAAGAAAGGCCCGCAAGGGAGAUGACGGUACCUGACUAAGAAGCCCCGGCUAACUACGUGCCAGCCGCAGC
This 504-nucleotide ribosomal RNA is filed under the name uncultured bacterium. RNAcentral's name for it is "bacterial SSU rRNA". It matches the Rfam family "Bacterial small subunit ribosomal RNA", at positions 31 to 518 of the family's 1533-position model. The record is from RNAcentral.